This 201-nucleotide unclassified non-coding RNA is filed under the name Hevea brasiliensis (rubber tree). Lineage: Eukaryota; Viridiplantae; Streptophyta; Magnoliopsida; Malpighiales; Euphorbiaceae. The record is from RNAcentral.
GAGCUCUGCAAGCCUCUCCGAACUUCGCCAGCAUUUGCAUGCUCCUGGGUCACUGGCUCGACAUGUGCUUGCCUCUCUUGCCAAUCGGUGUCCUUGGUUUGACACAAUAUUUGGGAAAUCUAUUUAUCGGUUGGCUGUUUAGUUUGCAUGUGCUUUGGUUGGCUAAAGUUUUCCAUAUAUUACCUUCCCUGCGUGUUCAUU